RNAcentral lists this ribosomal RNA (253 nucleotides) under uncultured bacterium. Its description in RNAcentral is "partial 16S ribosomal RNA". It matches the Rfam family "Bacterial small subunit ribosomal RNA", at positions 524 to 776 of the family's 1533-position model. The record is from RNAcentral.
UACGAGGGGGGCUAGCGUUGCUCGGAAUCACUGGGCGUAAAGCGCACGUAGGCGGUUCGUUAAGUCAGGGGUGAAAUCCUGGAGCUCAACUCCAGAACUGCCUUUGAUACUGGCGACCUUGAGUUCGGGAGAGGUGAGUGGAACUGCGAGUGUAGAGGUGAAAUUCGUAGAUAUUCGCAAGAACACCAGUGGCGAAGGCGGCUCACUGGCCCGAUACUGACGCUGAGGUGCGAAAGCGUGGGGGGCAAACAGG